CGCGUGAGUGAAGAAGGCCUUCGGGUUGUAAAGCUCUUUUGUCAGGGAAGAAACAGCAGCUCUAACACAGUCUGCGAAUGACGGUAC
RNAcentral lists this ribosomal RNA (87 nucleotides) under Polynucleobacter sp. Fw70-49. Its description in RNAcentral is "partial 16S rRNA". The record is from RNAcentral. Lineage: Bacteria; Pseudomonadati; Pseudomonadota; Betaproteobacteria; Burkholderiales; Burkholderiaceae.